Molecule: ribosomal RNA, 252 nt
Filed under: uncultured bacterium
Lineage: Bacteria
Description: partial 16S ribosomal RNA
Rfam family: Bacterial small subunit ribosomal RNA
Source: RNAcentral
UACGUAGGAAGCAAGCGUUGUCCGGGUUUAUUGGGUUUAAAGGGUGCGUAGGCGGCCUAUUAUGUUAGUGGUGAAAACGUUCGGUUUAACCGGAUACCCGCCAUUGAUACUGAUAGACUUGAGUGCGACAGAGGGUGUUGGAAUGUGUGGUGUAGAGGUGAAUGCUUAGAUAUCACGCAGAACACCAAUUGCGAAGGCAGAUGCCUAUGUCGUAACUGACGCUGAGGUACGAAAGCGUGUUGAGCAAACAGG